CAUAGCGACUAUCGUGGCAUAUCAAUAAGCGGAGGAAAAGAAACUAACAAGGAUUCCCUUAGUAACGGCGAGUGAAGCGGGAAGAGCUCAAAUUUGAAAUCUUCAAGGUUCUACCUUGACGAAUUGUAGUUUAUAGAAGUGUUUUCUGUUAGUAGAGUGGCAAAAGUUCUUUGGAAUAGGACAUCAUAGAGGGUGAGAAUCCCGUAUUUGGUCAUUCUUUCUAGCUUUGUGAUACACUUUCAACGAGUCGGAUUGUUUGGGAAUGCAGUCCAAAAUGGGUGGUAAAUUUCAUCUAAAGCUAAAUAUUGGCGAGAGACCGAUAGCGAACAAGUACCGUGAGGGAAAGAUGAAAAGAACUUUGAAAAGAGAGUUAAACAGUACGUGAAAUUGUCAAAAGGGAAGCGUUUGACACCAGUGUUGUUUAGUUGAAAAUCAAUUCAAUAAUUUUUGAUUUUAAGUAGUAUUGACUUCAUCAGCUUGCUGCUUUCUUUUCCGGAAUUAUUGAAUGCACUUUUCAGUUAACAAGUCAACAUCAAUUUCUUUUGUUGUAAAAGGGUAAGAGGAAGGUGGCUUACGCUUCGGCGUAAGUGUUUAUAGCCUUUUACCUCUGCAAUCGGAGAGAUUGAGGACAGCAGCGUAGACUCCUUCGGGGGUUAGAUACACUUGUGCUAAGCUAUAGCCUUGUAUAGACAACUUGUUGACUAUGCUCAGUCAUGUAGCUUACUCGCUUGUGCUAUUUUACCUACGCUUAGGAUGUUGAAGAUAUGCGCGACACG
This 776-nucleotide ribosomal RNA is filed under the name uncultured Neocallimastigales. RNAcentral describes it as "partial large subunit ribosomal RNA". It matches the Rfam family "Eukaryotic large subunit ribosomal RNA", at positions 22 to 644 of the family's 3401-position model. Lineage: Eukaryota; Fungi; Neocallimastigomycota; Neocallimastigomycetes; Neocallimastigales. The record is from RNAcentral.